Non-coding RNA from Acyrthosiphon pisum (pea aphid), 1805 nucleotides. The record is from Rfam. NCBI's taxonomy places the organism in Eukaryota, Metazoa, Arthropoda, Insecta, Hemiptera, Aphididae.
CGACCUCAGAUCAGGCGGGACUACCCGCCGGAUUUAAGCAUAUUAAUAAGCGGAGGAAAAGAAAACAACCGUGAUUCCCUUAGUAGCGGCGAGCGAACCGGGAAAAGCCCAUCGCCGAAUCUCGCCGCGCACUUUUGUGUCGCGGCACGUAUGAGAGUUGUGGCGUACGGGCCGGCCUCGUUGCCGGGGCGCACGUGACGGUCCAAGUCUCCCUUGAACGGGGCCAUGGCCCGCAGAUGGUGCCAGGCCAGUAGAGGCCGUCACAGCGUUCCGGGAUCGGACCGCGCCUUCGAGUCGGGUUGCUUGAGAGUGCAGCCCGAAGCGGGUGGUAAACUCCAUCUAAGGCUAAAUACGGCCACGAGACCGAUAGUUUACAAGUACCGUGAGGGAAAGUUGAAAAGAACUUUGAAGAGAGAGUUCAUAAGAACGUGAAACCGCUCGGUUGUAAACGGACAGAGCUCGCGAAUCCCCGCCGGGCGAAUUCACGGUCGGUCUAACCGCCGGCCGGAUCUUUCGCUCGGUUAGCGGACGUCGCGACCCGUUGGGCGCCGGCCGAAUGGCCCGGGUGACGUUCGUCGCGUCGGUCGCGUUUCGGCGUGACCGUUCGCGCCGAGCCCCGGUGCUCAUGGUCGGCUCGCCCGACGGCAAGAACCGUCGACGCGGCCCCGUCGCAGGCGGGGUCCCGUCGGUCGGCGACGUGUUUCGAGCUACUUUCCGACCCGUCUUGAAACACGGACCAAGGAGUCUAACGUGUGCGCGAGUCAACGGUGAUCUUACGAAAAACCACGUUUGGCGCAAUGAAAGUGAACCGUUUACGGUGCGGACGAUGGCCUAGCGACCGAACCCACCGGCGUUCAAAGUCGCGCUGGUCCGCAGUCCGGGGGCGUCUCCGCCAAGUCGGCUUCGGCCGGCUGGGGGCGCACCCUUAGCGCACACGUUGGUACCCGAAAGAUGGUGAACUAUGCCUGGCCAGGAUGAAGUCAGGGGAAACCCUGAUGGAGGUCCGCAGCGAUUCUGACGUGCAAAUCGAUCGUCUGAGCUGGGUAUAGGGGCGAAAGACUAAUCGAACCAUCUAGUAGCUGGUUCCAUCCGAAGUUUCCCUCAGGAUAGCUGGCGCCGAUGUGUCCCGCCCGUUCGCGGGCGUACGGACGCCGGUGGGACUCCGCGCUGUACGGCGCGGUAACAACACGCUCGUAACACGGAGGAUGUCUCAUACGGUAAAGCGAAUGAUUAGAGGACAUUGGGGCCGAAACGACCUCAACCUAUUCUCAAACUAUAAAUGAGUGAGAUCGCCGGCUUUACCUGGUACACCGCGUGAACCGCGUGCGAAGCCGGCGACGGAACCCUAGGCGCUUAGUGGGCCAUUUUUGGUAAGCAGAACUGGCGCUGCGGGAUGAACCGAACGCCGAGUUAAGGCGCCGAAAUCGACGCGUAUUCAGAGACCAUGAAAGGCGUUGGUUGCUGAUGACAGCAGGACGGUGGCCAUGGAAGUCGGAAUCCGCUAAGGAGUGUGUAACAACUCACCUGCCGAAGCAACUAGCUCUGAAAAUGGAUGGCGCUGGAGCGUCGUGCCUAUACUCGGCCGUCGACGGCAUAGUGGGGCCAGUCGUCGCUCGCGGCGGCCGGUCCCGGCAAGCCUCGACGAGUAGGAUGGCGCGGCGGUGUGCGUCGAAGGGCAGGUCGCGAGACCGCCUGGAGCCGCCGUCGGUGCAGAUCUUGGUGGUAGUAGCAAAUACUCGAGAGGGGCCCUCGGGGGCUGCCGUGGAGAAGGGUUUCUUGUGAACAGCCGUUGUCCAAGAGUCAGU